This 464-nucleotide ribosomal RNA is filed under the name uncultured bacterium. Its description in RNAcentral is "partial 16S ribosomal RNA". It matches the Rfam family "Bacterial small subunit ribosomal RNA", at positions 28 to 507 of the family's 1533-position model. The record is from RNAcentral.
GACGAACGCUGGCGGCGUGCUUAACACAUGCAAGUCGAACGAUGAAGCCAGCUUGCUGGUGGAUUAGUGGCGAACGGGUGAGUAACACGUGGGUGAUCUGCCCCAAACUUUGGGAUAAGCCUGGGAAACUGGGUCUAAUACCGAAUAUGACCGAUACUCGCAUGGGUGUUGGUGGAAAGCUCCGGCGGUUUGGGAUGGGCCCGCGGCCUAUCGGCUUGUUGGUGGGGUAAUGGCCUACCAAGGCGACGACGGGUAGCCGGCCUGAGAGGGCGACCGGCCACACUGGGACUGAGACACGGCCCAGACGCCUAUGGGACGCAGCAGUGGGGAAUAUUGCACAGUGGGCGCAAGCCUGAUGCAGCGACGCCGCGUGAGGGAUGACGGCCUUCGGGUUGUAAACCUCUUUCACCAGGGACGAAGCGAAAGUGACGGUACCUGGAGAAGAAGCACCGGCCAACUACGUG